AAAAAGCAAGAAAAUAUUCUCCCCUAGAGCCUCCAGGGCCACAUCCCUGCUUGAUCCAUUUUAGACUUCUGACCUUCAGAACUCCAAAGGAGUAAAUCCAUGUCAUUUUAACCCACUCAUUUUUGCUCAUUGGUUACAGCAGCAAUGCAAUGAGGAUGAUGCCGAUGCUGCUGUUGAUGACAAUCUGAAAACCAGAAGCUCCUUGACACAAUGAAGGAACAGUCUAUCCAACCAGAGAAGUGCAUGCUCUCCAGCCCUAGGGAGGCCUGUCAGGAAGGACCGAAAAUGUUCCAGAUGUUGAAAUAACACGCAUGUCAUCUUCCUGGUGUUAUGUUUCCUGAUGGGCUCCCAUUGAUCAAACCCAGCAGAAGCCAGAGAGCAACAAAGCUGAUGUUGGCCAUAAAGCACAGAAGCCUGAAGGAUUAUUCAGGAGAAGCAGAUAUGCAGUACAAUGAUGGGC
This 460-nucleotide long non-coding RNA is filed under the name Callithrix jacchus (white-tufted-ear marmoset). RNAcentral describes it as "lncRNA (ENSCJAG00000074819.1)". The record is from RNAcentral. Lineage: Eukaryota; Metazoa; Chordata; Mammalia; Primates; Cebidae.